GAGAUACCGACGACGCCGACGAGUCCUUCAUUCCACUCCCAGUGCAGGUCUUUGCAAGUUUUACUAAAUUCGGAGAAUGACCCUUUCUGCGGCAAGGUGAGCCGGCGUCUCCGUGGACACAGAUCAGAACCCCAGUGGUUCAGAUUUCUUUCCCCAGGACAGAAACCAAGACGAGCCUCACGCCCUGAAAAUGCUGGAAGCGAGGGUCCUGUGCUGCACAAGGCACCUCCCGAAAAGAUUCCUUGCUCUAGGGGAAGCAGGCUGACAUGUUGUGAGCUGCUUUAUGGAGAGACCCACUUGGCAAGGAAUAGACAUCUUAAGCUAUUAGCCAACAAGGAUCUGAGGCCUGCCAACAGCCACAUGAGCAAGCUUGAAAGUGAAGCCUCCCACAUCAAACCUCAGGAAGACUCCAGUUCUAUCCAACAUCUUGAUGGCAACCCUAUGGGAGACCAGGAGCUAGAGGCAUCCAGUAAGCUACACCCAAAUUCUGCCCACUGAUGCUGUGAGAUAAUACAUGCUUAUUGCUUUACACUGCUAAUGUUUGUGCUACUUUGUUAUGCAGCACUAGAUAACUAAUACACCAAUCCAUCACUCCAUGGAUACAACUUUUUCCAAGGGCCACAGUGCUUUUAGUCUUGACCUUAGUUGCUUUGUCAGUUGCAAGAGUGAGCACCCUCUUCUUGAAAUACUUCUCAUUCGGCUUCCAGGUCACCACACUUUGUUUUUGUUUAUUUGUUUUCCCCAGCCUCAUAGCUGCUUCUUCGCAGGCUCUGUGACUGGAUCCUUUUAAUUUGUCCACCUUUACUCUGGAGAAUUCUCCAGGGCUCAGUCCUCAGAUCUCAACUCUCCUGAUCUACUCCUAUCUAGGCAAUGACUUCAUCUAGAUGUACAGAUUUAUUUGUUUGUUUGUUUGAAGGAGAGAGUGAGUGGGAAGAGGGGGGCAAAGGAGAGGGAGAGAAAGAAUCUUAAGCAGGCUCCAUGGUCAGCACAUAGUCCCAUGUAGGGCUCAAUCUCACUACCCUGUAAAUGCGGAGACUUGUUCUUACCAAUGCCCGGCACCGUGUGUGGCACAUCUCAGACCCUCACUAAAUGGUUGUUAAAUGCUCAAGAUUGGACUGGGGCAAAGCACCCCAUGGAAUCAAGAUGGGAGGGGGGGGCAAAAUGCCCCCCUCCCAUGCUAACAUAGCUCCAAAUUCCUCAGACAACUGCCAGUGCUCAAAAAAGGAAAAUACUAUCAAAAAGUGAGCUCUGGUCACAAUGACCCCCUAACUUAUAGAGAGCCUCACCUGCAUAACUCUGAGAAUCAAUCAGGGAUUGUACAUGGCUAUAUAUACUAAAUAAAUAUACCAGGGCUCAACUGAAUGGCA
This 1367-nucleotide long non-coding RNA is filed under the name Vulpes vulpes (red fox). RNAcentral's name for it is "lncRNA (ENSVVUG00000001288.1)". Lineage: Eukaryota; Metazoa; Chordata; Mammalia; Carnivora; Canidae. The record is from RNAcentral.